GCAACACAUGAAAAAAAUAUGGUAAUGAGGUCAUAAUGAGGUCUGACGUCAUGACAGUUGCUCCGCCCUGAUUAAUCCUUAUAAGGAAAUAGAGCUCAAAAUAACUAUUUACCGAUAUUUGCAAGAAUUUGUAGCAAACCUCAAUAUUUUCAUUUUUAAAUCAAUACUUAUUAGUGAUUUUCUCUUACAUAGAAUAGCAUAUCUAUAAAAUAAUUCACUUUUUAUGUGCCGCUUGGCUGCAUUCGGCUUUAGCCAAACGCUUGCACUCGAUGACACGGAGUGUUGUUUACAUCUACAAACGUGGCGACAUCAGCUGAGAUAUGCAGUGGAUUUUAAUGCAAUAACCGGGAAUCUUAAGAGAAAAUAGGGAUAAGAUAAGAGACAAGGCAUUGUUUAACCCUAUUACGAGAAUAUGAGAACAUUAUUUCGGAAGAUAAUGGAAGACUGAGACGAUCAUCAUCCAGCUCCCUAUUUCUAUCUCUGCAGUACAUUUAGCCCAGCUAGCUGUCAAGAGUUCCAGGCUUGAGGAUGAAUAAAUAAAAAUCCGUUCCAUUUCUCCACAGGCUAUUCCCAAAGAAUUGGAUCGAUGAAUUCAUUCAGGCAGCAAGUUAAUCCAUCAUUUACUGAAAAUGAAUUGACUUCAUCCACAAGAACAUGAAGUGAUGGAAAUAAUUUGCACCUGCUCAGUAUUCCUUAUAAAGUCUACCUAUGAAUUUGAAAAGCUGUUUAUGAAAUAAAUUUUCUUGAUCAAUAAAUUAUGCUUUGACUUUUUCAUACAUUUACUUAUACUGUAUAAUUAUUGAAAAGGCUAUUAAGAUUUGGAAAUCUCAACUUGCAUAUGUUUUGUGUGGUGGGUGUCAAUCUCGAUCAAGAUAUUAUU
Molecule: long non-coding RNA, 880 nt
Organism: Saccostrea cuccullata (small rock oyster)
Lineage: Eukaryota; Metazoa; Mollusca; Bivalvia; Ostreida; Ostreidae
Exons: 4
Source: RefSeq, a predicted model, not a curated record